UACCAGCACCCCGAGUGGUCGGGACGUUUAUUGGGCCUAAAGCAUCCGUAGCCGGUUCUACGAGUCUUCCGUUAAAUCCAACUGCUUAACAGGUGGGCUGCGGAAGAUACUAUGGAGCUAGGAGGCGGGAGAGGCAAGCGGUACUCGAUGGGUAGGGGUAAAAUCCGUUGAUCCAUUGAAGACCACCAGUGGCGAAGGCGGCUUGCCAGAACGCGCUCGACGGUGAGGGAUGAAAGCUGGGGGAGCAAACCGG
This 253-nucleotide ribosomal RNA is filed under the name uncultured bacterium. Its description in RNAcentral is "partial 16S ribosomal RNA". It matches the Rfam family "Archaeal small subunit ribosomal RNA", at positions 474 to 727 of the family's 1478-position model. The record is from RNAcentral.